Molecule: ribosomal RNA, 116 nt
Filed under: bacterium (Candidatus Blackallbacteria) CG13_big_fil_rev_8_21_14_2_50_49_14
Lineage: Bacteria; Candidatus Blackallbacteria
Also listed under: 1 other name
Source: RNAcentral
CUUGGUGACAAGGCGUUGCGGACCCACCCGUUCCCAUCCCGAACACGGUAGUGAAACGCGGCAGCAGCGAAAAUACUCGGCGGGAGACUGCCCGGGAAGAUAGCCCGUCGCCAGGG